UUGCAGUCUGCAACUCGACUGCAUGAAGUCGGAAUCGCUAGUAAUCGCGGAUCAGCAUGCCGCGGUGAAUACGUUCCCGGGCCUUGUACACACCGCCCGUCACACCAUGAGAGUCGGGAACACCCGAAGUCCGUAGCCUAACCGCAAGGGGGCGCGGCCGAAGGUGGGUUCGAUAAUUGGGGUGAAGUCGUAACAAGGUACC
Molecule: ribosomal RNA, 202 nt
Filed under: uncultured bacterium
Lineage: Bacteria
Description: partial 16S ribosomal RNA
Rfam family: Bacterial small subunit ribosomal RNA
Source: RNAcentral